CCUGGGUGCAGUGGUGCACGCUGUAAUCCCAGCUACUCGGGAGGCGAGGUGGGAGAAUUGCUUGAGCCCAGAAGAAGUCCAGGGCUGCAAUGCGCGGUGCCAGUCAGGCGUCUGCACUAAGUUCAGCCCCUGUAGAGUGACCUUUCAGGAGUGCAGAACUACCAGGUUGCCUAAGGAGGGGUGAAACCUGCCCAGGUUGGAAACAGAGCAGGUCAAAAUUCCCGUGAUGAUCAGCAGUGGGAUAGUGCCUGUGAACAGCCCCUGCACUCCAGCCUGGACAAUACAGUGAGAUCCUGUCUCU
RNAcentral lists this signal recognition particle RNA (301 nucleotides) under Saimiri boliviensis boliviensis (Bolivian squirrel monkey). Its description in RNAcentral is "Metazoan signal recognition particle RNA (ENSSBOG00000009326.1)". It matches the Rfam family "Metazoan signal recognition particle RNA". Rfam says of the family: The signal recognition particle (SRP) is a universally conserved ribonucleoprotein. It is involved in the co-translational targeting of proteins to membranes. The eukaryotic SRP consists of a 300-nucleotide 7S RNA and six proteins: SRPs 72, 68, 54, 19, 14, and 9. Lineage: Eukaryota; Metazoa; Chordata; Mammalia; Primates; Cebidae. The record is from RNAcentral.